This 427-nucleotide long non-coding RNA is filed under the name Homo sapiens (human). Its description in RNAcentral is "non-protein coding lnc-BTBD3-2:1". The record is from RNAcentral. Lineage: Eukaryota; Metazoa; Chordata; Mammalia; Primates; Hominidae.
AUGGCUGCCUACACACUGGUGCAGAUCCAGCAUGGCCAGAGUGCCUGGAACCUGGGGAACCGCUUGGGCCAUAAGGAGUGAAGUGCAGCAGGCAGGCAUUGCAAGAUGCUGGCUAUGAGUUUGACAUCUGCUGCACCUUGGUGCAGAAGAGAGUGAUCUGAACCAUCUGAACAGUGCUGGAUGCGAUUGACUAGACAUGGUGGCUUGUAGCAAGGACUUGGCGCCUCAGCACUAUGGGGGAACUGACUAACCUCAAUAAAGCAGAAGCUGCUGCCAAGCAUGGUGAGGCCCAGGAAAAGGUCUCAAGCCCUCCUAUGAUGUCCCACCCCCUCUCAUGGAGCCUGACCAUCUCUUCCAUAGCAAUGUCAAUGAGGACUCCAGGUAUGCAGAUUUCACCGAAGAUCAGCUACCCUCCUGUGAGAAUCUG